AUUAGGCUGCUUUUGGAACAUAUAUAUAUAUACACACAGCCAGAAAUUUAUAUGGGAGAGAGAGACGUAUAUACACAAAAAGGCGGCGGAGAUAUACUGCACAAACAUAGAAAACGGGCGGCUGCUUCUGGAGAAAAACAAUUGAGGGCCAAAUUAAAUAUAUUAUAGAGACAAAAAAGUGGUUGCUUUGGGGAGAAAGUUGGUGUGGCUGAAUUGAAUAUAUAUCCACACAAAUUUGAGGGCUGAAUUGGAUAGAUACAUAGAGAGAACACGACAGACAAAAAACCAGGGAAUUACACAAGCAGAGAAGAGGAAGUAUAUAUGCAAAACGGCUGCCCGAAAUUUGGGAAGAGAAAACACGCGCAGAAGCCGAGGAAAAUUGAGAAAUAAAUUCACGUUUAUCUUUUUUUCCUUUUUUUUUAGCAUUAUGCUCGGCUAAAUUAUUUUGUAAUAAAAUUUUCGAUGAACUUUUAACUUUCAAAUUUUAUUUAUUUUGAAGUUAAAACACGUUUUCGAUUAUUGAAUGAUUG
RNAcentral lists this long non-coding RNA (530 nucleotides) under Olea europaea subsp. europaea. Lineage: Eukaryota; Viridiplantae; Streptophyta; Magnoliopsida; Lamiales; Oleaceae. The record is from RNAcentral.